Mugil cephalus (flathead mullet) is the source of this 366-nucleotide long non-coding RNA. RefSeq lists it as uncharacterized. The transcript is spliced from 2 exons. Lineage: Eukaryota; Metazoa; Chordata; Actinopteri; Mugiliformes; Mugilidae. The record is from RefSeq and is a predicted model, not a curated record.
CUCCUUCUUCUCCGUGUCCGUCGCGAGCCAGUAGGAAGCGCUGCUCAGAGCUCACGUGGCUCUCCCGAGCAACAACAACACGAGCCAUGUGUCGUCCGUCCUCCGAGCGCGCGCCCAUGCGAGUUAUUUUGCAGAGGGAAGAGAGAAAACAGAAGAAGCCUGCUUUCAAUUACCCAGGCAGCCGGAGCCAGUCCUGACUUCCCUGGGGCCCUAGACAACAGCUCUUCAACAGGGCCAGAGUCAGGAUCAGGACCAGGACCAGGAUCAGGACCAGGACUGGACCAGGAUCAAGACCUGGACCAGGGCCCCCAUAACCUCUGAACCUGACGGUCCAACCCUCCAACUAUUAAAAUAAUGAUAAUAUAA